RNAcentral lists this ribosomal RNA (250 nucleotides) under uncultured bacterium. Its description in RNAcentral is "partial 16S ribosomal RNA". It matches the Rfam family "Bacterial small subunit ribosomal RNA", at positions 355 to 622 of the family's 1533-position model. The record is from RNAcentral.
UAGGGAAUAUUAGUAAUGGGCGAAAGCCUGAACUAGCAACACCGCGUGUGCGAAGAAGGCCUUCGGGUCGUAAAGCACUUUUCGGGAGGAUGAGGAAGGACGGUACUCCCGGAAUAAGUCUCGGCUAACUACGUGCCAGCAGCCGCGGUAAAACGUAGGAGGCAAACGUUAUCCGGAUUUACUGGGCGUAAAGCGCGUGUAGGUGGUUUGGUAAGUAGGGCGUGAAAGCUCCUGGCUCAACUGGGAGAGG